This 253-nucleotide ribosomal RNA is filed under the name uncultured bacterium. RNAcentral describes it as "partial 16S ribosomal RNA". It matches the Rfam family "Bacterial small subunit ribosomal RNA", at positions 524 to 776 of the family's 1533-position model. The record is from RNAcentral.
UACGUAGGGUCCGAGCGUUGUCCGGAAUUACUGGGCGUAAAGAGCUCGUAGGUGGUUUGUCGCGUUGUUCGUGAAAACUCACAGCUCAACUGUGGGCGUGCGGGCGAUACGGGCAGACUAGAGUACUGCAGGGGAGACUGGAAUUCCUGGUGUAGCGGUGGAAUGCGCAGAUAUCUGGAGGAACACCGGUGGCGAAGGCGGCAUCCUGGACCAACACUGACGCUGAGGAGCGAAAGCCAGGGGAGCAAACGGG